AUUGAACGCUGGCGGCAUGCCUUACACAUGCAAGUCGAACGCGAAAGCGGGGCAACCCGCAAGUAGAGUGGCGAACGGGUGAGUAAUACAUCGGAACAUUUCCAGUAGCGGGGGAUAACCUGUCGAAAGAUAGGCUAAUACCGCAUACGCCCUACGGGGGAAAGCGGAGGACCGCAAGGCUUCGCACUAUUGGAGUGGCCGAUGUCGGAUUAGCUAGUUGGCGGGGUAAAAGCCCACCAAGGCAACGAUCCGUAGCUGGUCUGAGAGGACGAUCAGCCACACUGGAACGGAGACACGGUCCAGACUCCUACGGGAGGCAGCGGUGGGGAAUUGUGGACAAUGGGCGCAAGCCUGAUCCAGCCAUGCCGCGUGAGUGAAGAAGGCCUUCGGGUUGUAAAGCUCUUUCGGCGGGGACGAAAAGGUUCGUGCUAAUACCGCGGACUAAUGACGGUACCCGAAGAAGAAGCACCGGCUAACUACGUGCCAGCAGCCGCGGUAA
This 499-nucleotide ribosomal RNA is filed under the name uncultured bacterium. RNAcentral describes it as "partial 16S ribosomal RNA". It matches the Rfam family "Bacterial small subunit ribosomal RNA", at positions 29 to 523 of the family's 1533-position model. The record is from RNAcentral.